UAACGAGCGCAACCUCAUCAUUAGUUACCAUCAGGUAAGGCUGGGGACUCUAAUGAGACUGCCAUCGUAAGAUGUGAGGAAGGUGGGGAUGACGUCAAAUCAGCACGGCCCUUACUCCGGGGCGACACACGUGUUACAAUGGGUGGUACAAAGGGCAGCUACCUGGCGACAGGAUGCUAAUCUCGAAAACCGCUCUCAGUUCGGAUCGGAGUCUGCAACUCGACUCCGUGAAGCUGGAUUCGCUAGUAAUCGCGCAUCAGCCACGGCGCGGUGAAUACGUUCCCGGGCCUU
RNAcentral lists this ribosomal RNA (291 nucleotides) under uncultured Proteiniphilum sp. Its description in RNAcentral is "partial 16S ribosomal RNA". It matches the Rfam family "Bacterial small subunit ribosomal RNA", at positions 1090 to 1382 of the family's 1533-position model. Lineage: Bacteria; Pseudomonadati; Bacteroidota; Bacteroidia; Bacteroidales; Dysgonomonadaceae. The record is from RNAcentral.